Molecule: ribosomal RNA, 439 nt
Filed under: uncultured bacterium
Lineage: Bacteria
Description: bacterial SSU rRNA
Rfam family: Bacterial small subunit ribosomal RNA
Source: RNAcentral
UCAGGCCUAACACAUGCAAGUCGAACGGCAGCACGGACUUCGGUCUGGUGGCGAGUGGCGAACGGGUGAGUAAUACAUCGGAACGUGCCCAGUCGUGGGGGAUAACGUAGCGAAAGCUACGCUAAUACCGCAUACGGUCUAAGGAUGAAAGCGGGGGAUCGCAAGACCUCGCGCGAUUGGAGCGGCCGAUGGCAGAUUAGGUAGUUGGUAGGGUAAAGGCCUACCAAGCCGACGAUCUGUAGCUGGUCUGAGAGGACGACCAGCCACACUGGAACUGAGACACGGUCCAGACUCCUACGGGAGGCAGCAGUGGGGAAUUUUGGACAAUGGGCGCAAGCCUGAUCGAGCCAUUCCGCGUGCAGGAUGAAGGCCCUCGGGUUGUAAAGUAAUGUUGUACGGAACGAAAAGGCUCUGGUUAAUACCUGGGGCUCAUGACGUA